GGAGAUGUCAAAGUGGUUGUGACAUGCGUUUUAUUUUUAUCGACAUAUCACAGCCACUUUGAUGAGCUUCG
Molecule: microRNA precursor, 71 nt
Filed under: Rhodnius prolixus
Lineage: Eukaryota; Metazoa; Arthropoda; Insecta; Hemiptera; Reduviidae
Description: mir-2 microRNA precursor family
Rfam family: mir-2 microRNA precursor family
About the family: The miRNAs are transcribed as ~70nt precursors (modelled here) and subsequently processed by the Dicer enzyme to give a ~22nt product. In this case the mature sequence comes from the 3' arm of the precursor. The extents of the hairpin precursors are not generally known and are estimated based on hairpin prediction.
Source: Rfam by way of RNAcentral